AAGUCACACAACCGAUAAAACAAUUUUCAAAAAAAUUCUAGAAAGGAAGUAUUGGAGGAUAAAGAUGUUUUCCUACAUUUUAAAUUGUGUUAGUUCUAUAAAAAGUUUCGUAAAUAUUUGGUUUAGUAAGUCGGAGCGAUUAUUUUGGGGUUUUUGUAUGUUAAAAGGACAGAUGCGUUACAGACAGACAAUUUGAUCACACUUAUAUUCGAAGAAGAAGAAAAUUACAAAUUUGAUCAAAGUUAAAUGUUUAGCGUGAAAUUUUUGUUUAGUAAAAAUUAAACGAUUCCUUUUCCUACAAUUUUCUACAUUACGGAAAAGUUCAGAGCCAUUGUUUUUUUAUUUUAUAUGAAUUCAGAUUUAAAUAGAAAAGCGCUAAAAAACGAAAUGGAUAAUGAUCAAAGUUUUAUUUUAUAGAGACUACUAACAACAUAAAAUAUCAAAUUUCUCUGCAAUCUCAAAGUUAUUCCAUAUUUUUCAUUUGUAUGUAAACGCAAUGAAAAAAUCUAAAUGUUAUAUAAAACUAAUAGAAAUGAACAAAACACACUAUCAUAAAUCAAUUAAAUUCACGUUCUUAAGAAUGAAAAUAGUAAUAUAAAUCUAUAAUUUGUGCUUAUCAAAAUGAGAAACGCUCAAGCUUUAUCAGGUAUUCCUUAAAAUCAAUUAUUACACAAUAAAUCAAAAUCUUGCAAUAAUUACUAUCUUUACAACAACCAGACAUGACCUAAAUUUGACUCUUUGGAAUCAAAUGAACCAUUCUACAAGUAAAAUAUAUUUAUGAAAAGCGAUUAGAAUAGUAGGCUAAUUUAACUUUAUAUAUAUUUUGUCAGCUAUGUAAAGGAUUAUUGUCAAAAUUUUUAUCAAAUCAUCCGGCCUAAUUUUGGUAAGAAGCAUAAGGAUAUGUUUCAUAUUAUGCAGUAUAUUGUUAUGCUUCUUAUCAAAAUUGAUUUUAUUUACUUAAAAGAUUAACAGAUGGGUAUUUGACUUGAAUGCUUCUUGCUUUUCACUUCCGAAUAAUUUUUUCACUCGAUCAUCAGAGGUCAUAUUAGGUUCAUGGAGAAAAAAUGGCUGUUGGGACCCGGAAGGUGUCCCCG
This is a long non-coding RNA of Centruroides sculpturatus (bark scorpion), 1094 nucleotides long. RefSeq lists it as uncharacterized. Lineage: Eukaryota; Metazoa; Arthropoda; Arachnida; Scorpiones; Buthidae. The record is from RefSeq and is a predicted model, not a curated record. The transcript is spliced from 3 exons.